Non-coding RNA from Dyadobacter psychrophilus, 355 nucleotides. The record is from Rfam. Lineage: Bacteria; Pseudomonadati; Bacteroidota; Cytophagia; Cytophagales; Spirosomataceae.
AGGUCCCAAGGGUUCGGCUGUUCGCCGAUUAAAGUGGCACGCGAGCUGGGUUCAGAACGUCGUGAGACAGUUCGGUCCCUAUCUGUGGUGGGCGUAGGAAGAUUGACGGGGGCUGCCUUUAGUACGAGAGGACCGAGGUGGACCCACCGCUGGUGAACCGGUUGUCACGCCAGUGGCAUGGCCGGGUAGCUAUGUGGGGAAUAGAUAAGCGCUGAAAGCAUCUAAGUGCGAAACUAGCCCGAAGAUGAAUCUUCCACAUAAGGGUCGUUGUAGACUACGACGUUGAUAGGCUGCAGGUGUACGUGUAGAAAUACAUUCAGCUGAGCAGUACUAAUUACCCAAGAGCUUGCACAUU